Molecule: transfer RNA, 71 nt
Filed under: Stegodyphus mimosarum
Lineage: Eukaryota; Metazoa; Arthropoda; Arachnida; Araneae; Eresidae
Rfam family: tRNA
About the family: Transfer RNA (tRNA) molecules are approximately 80 nucleotides in length.
Source: Rfam by way of RNAcentral
GCUUUUGUGGUGUAAUGGUAACACACUUGGCUUGUAUUCGAGAGGUCUAAGUUCGAGUCCCGGCGAGGCCA